Molecule: ribosomal RNA, 419 nt
Filed under: uncultured bacterium
Lineage: Bacteria
Description: bacterial SSU rRNA
Rfam family: Bacterial small subunit ribosomal RNA
Source: RNAcentral
GAAUAUUGGUCAAUGGACGCAAGUCUGAACCAGCCAUGCCGCGUGAAGGAUGAAGGCCUUCUGGGUUGUAAACUUCUUUUAUCAGGGAAGAAAAUUACGGUUUCUACUGUAACCGACGGUACCUGAGGAAUAAGCACCGGCUAACUCCGUGCCAGCAGCCGCGGUAAUACGGAGGGUGCAAGCGUUAUCCGGAUUCACUGGGUUUAAAGGGUGUGUAGGCGGAUAUUUAAGUCAGUGGUGAAAUCUCCGGGCUCAACCCGGAAACUGCCAUUGAUACUAUUUAUCUUGAAUACUGUUGAGGUAGGCGGAAUAUAGCAUGUAGCGGUGAAAUGCUUAGAUAUGAUAUAGAACACCGAUUGCGAAGGCAGCUUACUAAGCAGUUAUUGACGCUGAGGCACGAAAGCGUGGGGAUCAAACAG